Long non-coding RNA from Astyanax mexicanus (Mexican tetra), 2037 nucleotides. RefSeq lists it as uncharacterized. The transcript has 3 exons. The record is from RefSeq and is a predicted model, not a curated record. NCBI's taxonomy places the organism in Eukaryota, Metazoa, Chordata, Actinopteri, Characiformes, Acestrorhamphidae.
AGGUCCUUGCGGGCUACCUGGUGCCCGCGGGCACCAUGUUGGUGACCCCUGUUAUAGUGUGAUCUAGUGUAAUCUAACUCAGAGUGCAGUCUGAAGCACUUCAAAUACAUGUAAAAACAACAUAUUAAACAAAAUGGGAAAAGACACAGUUUGAAUCAGCUUUAAAAGGUUAAAGGAGAUGUUCUGUUUUAUACAAAGCAGAUAGAAAAAAGCAAAAAAGGCAAAAAAAAAAUCAUACAGAGAGCAGUUACUCUCAGCCCAAACCAUCAGACAGCAGCACCCAUGUGCCUGAUUAGCCUGAGCGAGGAAGAGCAGUAGAAACAGUGUGCAGCCUCUUUUCUCUUAACAGUCUUUUAAUUAAAAAGCUGUUAUUGUGAACCGGCGGACUGGGUGCUUAUUUAUUAUUGAAGAGAUGGAACCAGCAUGCUUAUAUGUAAUCAAGCUCUGCAGUGAUUGGUUACCACAGGGCUUGGUGUGUAAGAGUGUAGGCACGUAUCCCCUGAAAGAUUCAGUAUGUAUACAGCAUAUACACCAAGCAAAAAUGGCUCUAUAUAAUAAAGAAAUGUAAGAAAAACAUUCUUUAACUUGCAACAGUGGACUGAGAUGCCAAAAGGAGCUAGCAUUGUGACCCUUGACUUUCUAGCCAUGGAUGCUAAAAAUGCUGCUCUGACCUGCAGGAACUGUGUGUUUAACCUUGCUCACAAGAUACCACCUCACAAUGUAUACAGUUGUGGCCAGUUUUAAACCGUUCUUUGAGGUAACACUAGGAACAUUGCUCUGAGGAUUUGAUUGUGUUCAGCCAUUAGAGCAUCAGGUACCAAUGUUGAAAGAUAAUUUUUAAUUUCUGAUACUGAAAGGAAUUCCAUCAUCACAGAAAAUAACACAGUUCUUCUAUUCCACAGCUUUUAAUGCUGGUGGAAAAAAACAGUGGCCCACCAUGAACAUCUAAUAACAUUAGCGGAGAGCUAACUAACAUUAGCAUCUAAUGUUAGCAUCGAGCUAGCUGCGUUACUGACAUAUUAACUUUAGCAGCCAGUUAGCUAACACACUAACUUUAGCAGGCGAGCUAGCUAAUGCUAUCGGGGAGAGAACUAAGGUUGGGGGAGAGCUAGCUAACACACUAACUUUAGCGGGCGAGCUAGCUAAUGCUAUCGGGGAGAGAACUAAGGUUGAGGGAGAGCUAGCUAACACACUAACUUUAGCGGGCGAGCUAGCUAAUGCUAUCGGGGAGAGAACUAAGGUUGGGGGAGAGCUAGCUAACAAACUAACUUUAGUGGCGAGCUAGCUAAUGCUAUCGGGGAGAGAACUAAGUUUAGCAGAGAGCUAGCUAACAAACUAACUUUAGUGGCGAGCUAAAGGUUAGGGGAGAGCUUGCUAACUUUAGUGGUGAGCAAGCUAACUGGAAGGUCUAAAUAAGUCUUGACUAAGCCUAUAAUAAAUUAAUUUUAGGUUGCAUUUUACAACUGUGGUUCUCAAACGUUUCAGUUGGAGACCCCGUUUGUGCAUGCUAAAUACCAUUGGGGCCUCCUUUUUUCCAUAUGUGCAGGAAUCUACGAAAGAGCUCAUACAACUAACAUAUGUUAUGUUGGCUCUGUUCUGCAUCACAAUGAAACAAGAUUUAUAUGAAAACAAAAAUGAUAACAAAUGGGAAACAUUACGUUUUGAUUUCCAGUACAAUAAAUUAUUUUCUCCCAAAGAAAUUAAUGACUACAUUCUGCUGUCUUUUAUUAUAUUUAUCGAGGUUUUUAAAAAGGUCUUAAAAAACAUUAAAUUUGACUUUUAAAAUGGUGCAAGAACCCUGUAUGAGAAUUUGAUUGCGUUCAGCUAUUGGAGCAUCAAUAAGUUCUGGUACUGAAGUUAAUUGAUUAGUUCUGGCAUUGGAUGGAGCUCCAUCAUUUCAGAGAACACAGUUCCACUGCUCCGCAACUCAACACUGAGGGGCUUUAUACCCCUCUAGCUCACACCUGGCAUUGGGCCUGAUGACCUUAGGCUUUUCUAUGAGUCUGUGUGUGUGUGUGUGUGUGUGUGUGUGUGUGU